Molecule: long non-coding RNA, 2714 nt
Filed under: Homo sapiens (human)
Lineage: Eukaryota; Metazoa; Chordata; Mammalia; Primates; Hominidae
Description: HSALNT0353644
Source: RNAcentral
AGAAGCGCGCCACCGCGGGUUACAAAACCCUGUGUCAUAAUUUCACUUCGGAUUUUUUUUUUUUUCUUUCCUAGUGCUGGCUUCCCGCAGAAGGACGUUUUGUGUGUUAGGUCCAUGUGUGCGUGUGUAUUUCCUUUUGGUAAUUAUUUUGGAAAACGUUCAGAGGCUAAAAAUAGAGAAGCCAGAAGCCUCCUUGCUGCGCGACUCGCGGCCCCAAGCUCUCCAGCGCACAGGGUCCUGCUGAGACACAGCGACGACCACCGUGUGUCCCCGAGUGCCCGAGCCCCGUGCCGGGCCUGGCCGCUGAGGACGCGCUCCCCGCCACCGGCUCAUUUUCUCGGUUCUAAAACCUUCAAUGCCCGUCGCUAGCAACUUAAUCUGCGCUCUAACUCGCAGAAUUCUUUUGACCUGUUGGAGAAAAAUAGCAUUUUAAGAUGUGGGUUAUUCAAGAGGGUGGAGUCGGCUAAGUUUAGUGGACGCUAAAAAUAGCCCAGCGGUGCGGGCGGGUCAGGCCUGGGGGCGCCAGGACCUCCGCCCUCACCCUGCCCCCUACGGGCCUACGAGCCGCAGCCCUCCCAGGGCCUGUGCGUAAUUCUAGCCAAGGCCCAGUGUCAUUUCCAAGAGGUGCCUCUCGGCCGGGUUACUCAUAUGUCAGAUUCCCAUUCUCACGUUGUGUUUCACGCAGCAACUGCAUUUCCAAAGAAAAGCGUGAGUCACUACCAAGUGGCUGCAGAGGGAGGGGAGGGCCACCAUACACCGGAAGAAAGGGGGGGGGGGAAGGGGCCUUUUUAUAGCGUUCUGAGCUGGCUUUCUUUUCCAUAGGUUAAUUUUUAUCUUAACUACCAAACUUAGGCUGGAUCGCCUUUUUAUAAGAAAUCUAUUUAAAUACAAGGGAUUAUUUGAACUUCUUUUUAAAAAGCCAAGGGCAUUUUUUGUGUGGUUCUCAGCUUAUAAAUAAAAUAUAUUAAUAGUUGUUUAAUGGGCAUUUAAAAUGCCAACUGCCUGUGACUGUUUUUAGUGCAUUCUUCAAACACCACUUGGAGACCUGAAACUGCCCCCUCGGUUCAGUCCACAAGGGGACUGCCACCUUGCCAUGGGCCAGGUAUACCCAGCCCAGCGAGGCCAAGCUCAUUGCUCUGAACAGAUGGUGAUUUUCAAACUGAAUGCUAUUCUGGUGUACUUAUUUAGGAACAAGAUCUAAAAAUAGACUUGAAUGAGCAUAACCUGCAAAAAUAAGUUGUCAGCUUCUUUUUACUCCUGGAGGGUUGAAAACAAAGCUGUCAGCAAUUUCUGCGAGCUGAGGAAUCUGUAUACUUUCUUAUUUUAGAGAGAGCUUUUUCAGUGGGACUGUAAUUGAGUCCCCUUAAAUCUUUGUGUCAACAAAUUACCAUCUGUUGUUCUAGAGACUCUCAAAUUGGUGAGACUCGCUGCUGCUUACUGCCGGGGUGGAGGGGGAUGCUAUCGUUUGCCCUUGUGGACAUGAGCUUUGGAGAGGGAAUGGGUGCCGCUGGUAUCCGACGUCAUUGCAGGAAUGAGUCCAGGCUCUGCCAGCCCCCAUUACCCAGACCCUGGGGUCUUGUAGAGGUAGUGAUUGAGAGAUGCCUGGGAGUAUGGGCUUGGAGACAGGGGUGGCACUGAGGUGGAGAGGAAACCCCAGCCAGUUUUGGCGGGGCCUCAGGGGAGUCUCAACACCUGUUGGUGGCUGGGGUCAUAGUAGCCCAGAGCGCUGGGUUUUGAGUAAAUCCAUGAAGCGCUCAGCCCUUCUUUAUAAGGUACUUGGUGUAGCCUUUGUGGCAGGAAACCACAGAGCACUUACUAAUUUACAUUCCCACCAAUAGUAUAUAAGUUCCCUUUUCUCUGCAUCCUUGCUAACAUCUGUUAUUUUUUGUCUUUUUAAUAAUAGCCAUUCUGUCUGGUGUAAGAUGAUAUUUCAUUGUGUUUUUAAUUUGCGUUUCUCUGAUGAUUAAUGAUUUUGAGCAUUCUUUCUUAUGUUUGUUGGCCAUUUGUAUGUCUUCUUUUGAAAAAUGUCUAUUCAUGUUCUUUGCCCACUUUUUAAUGGGAUUAUUUGAGGUUUUUUUGUUGAGUUGUUUGAGUUUCUUAUAAAUUCUGACUGUCAGUCCCUGUCAAAAUGCAUAGUUUGCAAAUAUUUUCUCCCAUUUCACUAGUUGUUUGUUCACUCAGCUGAUUAUUUCCUUUGCUGUGCAGAAGCUUUUUAGUUUAAUUAAAUCCCAUUUGUCUGUUUUUGUUUCUGUUGCCUGUGCUUUUGAGGUCUUGGUGAUGAAUUUUUUGCCUAGACCAAUGUUGAGAAGUUUUCCCUAGGUUUUCUUUUAGUACUUUUAUAGUUUCAGAUCUUACAUUUAAUUCAUCUUGAGUUGACUUUUUUUAUCUGGUGAGAGAAUACGAUCCACUUUCAUUCUUCUGCAAAUGACAAUCCAGUUUUUCUAGCACAAUUUACUAAAAAGAGUGUCCUUCCCCCAGUAUAUGUUCUUGUUGACUUUAUCAAAGAUCAGUUGGCUAUAAAUAUGUGAUUUUAUUCCUGUGUUAUCUACUCUGCUCCAUUGAUUUGUGUGUUUAUACCAGUUCCAUGCUGUUUUGGUUACUGUAGCCUGGUGGUAUAAUUUGAAAUCAGAUAAUAUGAUGGCUCCAGCUUUGUUCUUUUUGCUUGGGAUUGCUUUGGCUAUUUGGGCUCUUUUUCAGUUCCAUAUGAAUUUUAG